RNAcentral lists this ribosomal RNA (255 nucleotides) under uncultured bacterium. RNAcentral's name for it is "partial 16S ribosomal RNA". It matches the Rfam family "Bacterial small subunit ribosomal RNA", at positions 524 to 777 of the family's 1533-position model. The record is from RNAcentral.
GACAGAGGGUGCAAACGUUGUUCGGAAUUACUGGGCGUAAAGCGCGUGUAGGCGGCCAUCUAAGUCGGGCGUGAAAUCCCACGGCUCAACCGUGGAAGUGCACUCGAAACUGGAUGGCUAGAGUCCUGGAGAGGAAGGUGGAAUGCUUGGUGUAGAGGUGAAAUUCGUAGAUAUCAAGCGGAACACCGGUGGCGAAGGCGGCCUUCUGGACAGUGACGUGACGCUGAGACGCGAAAGCGUGGGGAGCAAACAGGG